Molecule: ribosomal RNA, 525 nt
Filed under: uncultured bacterium
Lineage: Bacteria
Description: partial 16S ribosomal RNA
Rfam family: Bacterial small subunit ribosomal RNA
Source: RNAcentral
UGGGGAAUUUUGGACAAUGGGCGAAAGCCUGAUCCAGCAAUGCCGCGUGUGUGAAGAAGGCCUUCGGGUUGUAAAGCACUUUUGUCCGGAAAGAAAUCCUUGGCUCUAAUACAGUCGGGGGAUGACGGUACCGGAAGAAUAAGCACCGGCUAACUACGUGCCAGCAGCCGCGGUAAUACGUAGGGUGCAAGCGUUAAUCGGAAUUACUGGGCGUAAAGCGUGCGCAGGCGGUUUGCUAAGACCGAUGUGAAAUCCCCGGGCUCAACCUGGGAACUGCAUUGGUGACUGGCAGGCUAGAGUAUGGCAGAGGGGGGUAGAAUUCCACGUGUAGCAGUGAAAUGCGUAGAGAUGUGGAGGAAUACCGAUGGCGAAGGCAGCCCCCUGGGCCAAUACUGACGCUCAUGCACGAAAGCGUGGGGAGCAAACAGGAUUAGAUACCCUGGUAGUCCACGCCCUAAACGAUGUCAACUAGUUGUUGGGGAUCAUUUCCUUAGUAACGUAGCUAACGCGUGAAGUUGACCGCCU